RNAcentral lists this ribosomal RNA (484 nucleotides) under uncultured bacterium. Its description in RNAcentral is "partial 16S ribosomal RNA". It matches the Rfam family "Bacterial small subunit ribosomal RNA", at positions 30 to 507 of the family's 1533-position model. The record is from RNAcentral.
AUUGAACGCUGGCGGCAGGCCUAACACAUGCAAGUCGAGCGGAUGAAGGGAGCUUGCUCCUGGAUUCAGCGUCGGACGGGUGAGUAAUGCCUAUGAAUCUGCCUGGUAGUGGGGGAUAACGUCCUGAAACGGGCGCUAAUACCGCAUACUUCCUGAGGGAGAAAGUGGGUGAUCUUCGGACCUCACGCUAUCAUAUGAGCCUAGGUCGGAUUAGCUAGUUGGUGGGGUAAAGGCCUACCUAGGCGACGAUCCGUAACUGGUCUGAGAGGAUGAUCAGUCACACUGGAACUGAGACACGGUCAAGACGCCUAAGGGAGGCAGCAGUGGGGAAUAGUGGACAAAGGGCGAGAGCAUGAUCCAGCCAUGCCGCGUGUGUGAAGAAGGUCUUCGGAUUGUAAAGCACGUUAAGUUGGGAGGAAGGGCAGUAAGUUAAUACCUUGCUGUUUUGACGUUAACAACAGAAUAAGCACCAGCUAACUUCGUG